UAAUUGUUUGGUUUAAUAGAUAAUUUUUACAUUUUUGGUUUAAUAGAUAAUAAUCCAUGUAAAAUAUGCGAUAAAGAAACAAAAAGAGAAUUGUACAAUGAAAAUGUCAUCGCACAAACUAAAUAUUGUCUAAUAAAUACUUGAAAAACAUAAAUAAAAAUUUAGCACAAAUUACUUUUCCCACUUCAAAAUUUAGGCAAAUUUAUGCAUUCUACGAAACUAGUUUUCAUGAUAUAACCGUCAAACUUGUUUGUAGAUACUACAAGAUUGCAUACGUAAAAAAUCGUAAAAAAAAAACAUUCAGAGAUUACGUAACGGAACAAAAAAUUUCGACGGUUAAAAACGAAAAAUCACAAUUUAACGGUUAUUUUAGCUCCGAUUUUGAUGAUUUUUUACAGCUAUACUCCUCGACCCUAUAAGAAUGUAAUGAAUAAAUUCGAUCUUUAAUUUAAAAUAUUUACACUAGUGGAUACCACAAAAUCUUAUUUUAUACUUAAUUGAAGUAUAAUAUUAACUCAAGUGUUCGUUUAAUUUACCGUUUUGACACAACAUGCAUUCUACGAAACUUUUUUCAACGAUCCAACCGUCAAACUUAUUUGUACACACUCCAAGAUUGCAUACGUAAAAAAUCGUAAAAAAAAACAUUCAGAGAUUACGUAACGGAACAAAAACUUUCGACGGUUAUAAACGAAAAAUCACAAUUUAACGAUUAUUUUAGCUUCGAUUUUGAUGAUUUUUUACAGCUAUACUCCUCGACCCUAUAAGAAUGUAAUGAAUAAAUUCAAUCUUUAAUUUAAAAUAUUUACACUAGUGGAUACCACAAAAUCUUAUUGUAUACUUAAUAAAAGUAUAAUAUUAACUCUAAGUGUUUGUUUAAUAUAGCGUUUUGACCCAAUAUGCAUUCUACGAAACUUUUUUCAACGAUCCAACCGUCCAACUUAUUUGUACACACUCCAAGAUUGCUUACGUAAAAAAUCGUAAAAAAAAAAACAUUCAGAGGUUAGGUAACGGAACAAAAGUUUUCGACGGUUAUAACAGAAAAAUCAUAAUUUAACGAUUAUUUUAGCUCUGAUUAUGAUGAUUAUUUACAGCGACACUCCUCAACCAUAUAAGAAUGUAAUGAAUAAAUUUGAUCUUCAAUUUAAAAUAUUUACACUAGUGGAUACCACAAAAUCUUAUUUUAUACUUAGUUGAAGUAUAAUAUUAACUCAAGUGUUUGUUUAAUCUACCGUUUUGACACAACAUGCAUUCUACGAAACUUUUUUCAACGAUCCAACCGUCAAACUUAUUUGUACACACUCCGAGAUUGCAUACGUAAAAAAUCGUAAAAAGCAAAUAUUCAGAGAUUACGUAACAGAACAAAAAAUUUCGACGGUUAUAAAUGAAAGAUCACAAUUUAACGGUUAUUUUAGCUCUGAUUUUGAUGAUUUUUUACAGCUACACUCCUCGACCCUAUAAGAAUGUAAUGAAUAAAUUCAAUCUUUAAUUUAAAAUAUUUACACUAGUGGAUUCCACAAAAUCUUAUUUUAUACUUAAUAGAAGUAUAAUAUUAACUCUAAGUGUUUGUUUAAUCUACUGUGUUGACGUAAUAUGCAUUCUACGAAACUUUUUUCAACAAUCCAACCGUCAAACGUAUUUGUACACACUCCGAGAUUGCUUAUGUAAAAAAAUCGUCAAAAACAAACAUUCAAAGAUUAGGUAACGGAACAAAAGUUUUCAACGGUUAUAAAAGAAAAAUCAUAAUUUAACGGUUAUUUUAGCUCCGAUUUUGAUGAUUUUUUACAGCUACACUCCUCAACCCUAUAAAAAUGUAAUGAAUAAAUUUGAUCUUCAAUUUAAAAUAUUUACACUAGUGGAUACCACAAAAUCUUAUUUUAUACUUAAUAGAAGUAUAAUAUUAACUCUAAGUGUUUUUUAAUCUACAGUUUUAAUGUAAUAUGCAUUAUAUGAAACUUUUUUCAACGAUCCAACUGUCAAACUUAUUUUUACACACUCCGAGAUUUUAAAAUAAUAAAAUAGUCAAUUUAUGUCGGUUAUA
This 2038-nucleotide long non-coding RNA is filed under the name Malus domestica (apple). RNAcentral describes it as "long non-coding RNA (MDOM_LNC003666)". Lineage: Eukaryota; Viridiplantae; Streptophyta; Magnoliopsida; Rosales; Rosaceae. The record is from RNAcentral.